RNAcentral lists this ribosomal RNA (465 nucleotides) under uncultured bacterium. RNAcentral's name for it is "partial 16S ribosomal RNA". It matches the Rfam family "Bacterial small subunit ribosomal RNA", at positions 28 to 507 of the family's 1533-position model. The record is from RNAcentral.
GACGAACGCUGGCGGCGUGCUUAACACAUGCAAGUCGAACGGAAAGGCCCUGCUUGCAGGGUACUCGAGUGGCGAACGGGUGAGUAACACGUGGGUGAUCUGCCCUGCACUUCGGGAUAAGCCUGGGAAACUGGGUCUAAUACCGGAUAGGAGCCAUUUUUAGUGUGAUGGUUGGAAAGUUUUUUCGGUGUAGGAUGAGCUCGCGGCCUAUCAGCUUGUUGGUGGGGUAAUGGCCUACCAAGGCGGCGACGGGUAGCCGGCCUGAGAGGGUGGACGGCCACAUUGGGACUGGGAUACGGCCCAGACUCCUACGGGAGGCAGCAGUGGGGAAUAUUGCACAAGGGGCGCAAGCCUGAUGCAGCGACGCCGCGUGGGGGAUGACGGCCUUCGGGUUGUAAACUCCUUUCGCUAGGGACGAAGCUUUUUGUGACGGUACCUAGAUAAGAAGCACCGGCUAACUACGUG